RNAcentral lists this ribosomal RNA (516 nucleotides) under uncultured bacterium. RNAcentral's name for it is "bacterial SSU rRNA". It matches the Rfam family "Bacterial small subunit ribosomal RNA", at positions 29 to 517 of the family's 1533-position model. The record is from RNAcentral.
AACGAACGCUGGCGACGUGGAUAAGACAUGCAAGUCGAACGAUCACUAUUGAGUAGCAAUAUUUGGUAGUGGGAGUGGCGCAAGGGUGCGUAACACGUGGGUAAUUUGCCGUAAAGUCUGGGAUAACUUGCUGAAAGGCGAGCUAAUACCGGAUGUGAUUGCUGGGGGGCAUCCUCUGGCACUUAAAGUCGGGGACCGCAAGGCCUGACACUUUUCGAUAAGCCCGCGGCCUAUCAGCUAGUUGGUGAGGUAACGGCUCACCAAGGCUAAGACGGGUAGCUGGUCUGAGAGGACGACCAGCCACACUGGAACUGAGACACGGUCCAGACACCUACGGGUGGCAGCAGUCGAGAAUUUUUCUCAAUGGGGGAAACCCUGAAGGAGCGACGCCGCGUGGGGGAUGAAUGGCUUCGGCCCGUAAACCCCUGUCAUUUGCGAUCAAACCUUACGACCUAACACGUCGUAAGCUGAUAGUAGCGAAAGAGGAAGGGACGGCUAACUCUGUGCCAGCAGCCG